RNAcentral lists this long non-coding RNA (3393 nucleotides) under Sus scrofa (pig). RNAcentral describes it as "lncRNA (ENSSSCG00005011190.1)". The record is from RNAcentral. Lineage: Eukaryota; Metazoa; Chordata; Mammalia; Artiodactyla; Suidae.
GGGAUCUUGAUGGAGCCUCUCCCCCCCAACCCUCCCUCCCACCCGCACCCUUGCUGUUCCUUGUUUGUGUGCAGAGCUUUGAUGGUGGUUCCAUGCCUGGCCCAUCCCCGCCUCAACUUCCAGGACAUUCCCUCCCCAGCUCCAGCCUGGAGGGGUUAGGGACCAAGGUCCCCGGAGGCCAAAGGGCCGUAAUCACCCCUCGUGCCCACCCACAGCUGUGCUCACUGGCACCGUCACCUCUUCCCCUCUGGGACCAGGACAGAUCCUGGGCCACUUCAGCCUGGCCUGGAAAUAGCAUGAGGCAGAGGCAUUGGGUCCCAGGGGACCCAGGCCCCGGCAGAGCCACAAUACCUACCCUCUCUGCGUGGCCUGGCAGCCUUUGGAAAAGGAAAGAAGAAGCCGAGAGCAGAGAGAAGCAGGGAAUGGUGUGCAGAGCACCGGAUGAGGAGCAGGAGCCUUCGGUUCCUAGUCAACCCAGCCACUACCUGGCUGUGCAGUCUUCUGUGAGCCCCUGCCCUCUCUGGGCUGGCCUCCCUCAUUUGUGAGCUGAGGCCCUUGCUCUGGUCAUCUCGGAGAACUGUCCAGAUUAAAAGUGCAAUCGUCUGUGAUUCCAGGGCUCUAGGGUGGGACAAACCAGAGAAGCCACACAGCAGGGGCAGGUCCUGGGACGGGAUAGCAGGUGGGGUCUGGCUAAGCCUGGAUCAGGAUCAGCAGCUAGUUCCAAAGAGUUAGGGGCAAGGGCAAGGGUCAAAGCAGACCCACCUCGUACACAGACUGUGAAAAUCCAGCUUUUCUGGAUCGCCCCAGCCUGGCACCCCUGCCUAUUUGAGAGGGUCUCAAAGGGGCUGGUGGCUUCCUGGUCCCUACCCUUGAGUCCUCAGCAGCACCCCCAAGAGAGUGGAAGAAAUUAGGAGCUGAGAAAAGCCACCCAGCCUGACCUCUUGCUUAUACAGAUGGGGAAGAGCUCAGAGAGGACAAGUGACUUGCCCAGAAUCACACAGCCCAGUGGAGCAGGGCCAGGACUAGAAUGCAGUGCUCUUUCCCCCAGGCCGUACUGCCUGCCUGAGGGAGUCGUGGAGUCCAGGCUACGCUUAAGAGGAUGGACAUUUGAGAGGUCAGAGUGCUUUCCAACAUGCCCAUGAGACCGCCUUCCUUGAUGAAACACACAAACGUCUAGGCGUUUCUGUCCCCCCCACCCCCAGAAGGCAGGGUGAGGAGAGGUGAUCCCCAGGGCACUGCGGCAGGAACAGAGUUCAGAACGCAGCCGUCCCUCCCAUGGUCAGUCACCUGCCAGGUGUCUAGACAGCUGUUGGCGACCUGAGUCAGAUGGGCGCUGGUGCCUUUUGCCCCCCUUUUUUGUUCUCUGUCCCUGCUCCCCUGCGCACUUAGCCUGAAGCAUGAUGCAAGAGCUGCAGGUUGUAGGGCAGCUCCUCCUCAUGGAGGCUCCUCCUAGACCUGUUGCUUCCAGCCCCCAGAUCCGUGUUUCCAUUUAGAGCACAGCUCAACUGCUCAGCACCUCGGGCCCAGCUCCCCCACAGAUGGAGUGACGGCGUGCUUCAGCCAGAACCUGCCGAGAUCUAGGUUGCCCUGGUAACAGCCAAUGACAUCAGCCCCAGUGCUGGGUCAAGCAUCUCAUCAUGACAUACGCUGUUGCUGGGGUGACGGCGGAAUUCAGAACUUAGAUUUCCGGGACAGCGGGCUUUCUUGGGUUUCUUUUACUGUUGAGGGUGCAGCUUUUGUGGACGGCUUGGGGGGAAGAAAGAGUCCUAGGAAGGAGAUGAUAAAACUUGUUUGAUCCCUUGAGCCCCCCCAGAGGUACCACCCCUCGUCCUUUAUGCUUUGUCAUGGUGAUGCGAGACCUCUGACCUGCGCUGAGUCACCCUGGCAGCCCUCCAGAGGCGAGCAGAACAAAUUGAAGAUGUAGCGGUGUAGGCGCUGAGUCUAGGCCAUUGGUGAGGGGCCUGGGUCCCCAUUUCCGUUCCAGGAAGAGGAUCGCCCCAAAGCCCCCACCCCUUCAUCUACUGAUCUUCCUCCUCACCUGUGCUGAACGCCUGCUGUGUGGACUCCAGGUAUGACCUUCAGCUGCUCCUGGGCACAGCCAGGAAGACUGGGGAAGAGAAAUUGCGCUCAGUUGCGUCCUUGAGCCACUCCUGGCUGCAGUCGAGGCUGCAGCCGUGUUUGUUAAGGCCGUUGCAGGUGGCAGGCACCAUACCAAGCACCUCAUGGGCAUCCCCUCAUUAUCCUCACAGCACUUGUAAGCUAGGACUCUUCUGAGCCCCAUGAGACACGUGAAGAAACAGGGGCCCAGAGAGGUUAAGGAACCUGCCCGUGGCCAUCAGCCAGUAAGUGAAGGAGCCCAGAGUUCAAGGCAGGGGAUGUCCAGCCUGAUGUCAGCCGGAGGGGACAGGCACGACCACUCUCUGUGGAGUGGGGUCGGGUCAUCCAUUCACCUGGAUGACCCCGUUCACCACCCGAGAGGAACAGAGGUGUGGGAUGGGCUGGCCCUAGGGUCCCCUUGAGUGAGGCCGUGGGAGGGGCCUCAGCCCCUUUAGGCACCUGUCCCUGUGCGGUGGGCCCGCACCCAGCCCUCCUCUCACCUGCUGGGGUUUCCAGGAGAGCUGAAAGGGGAGAGGAAGCUGGACGGCUCCCCAGGUCGAUGGUCCUCAAGCCCCUGCUUUGGGCCAAGCCUUGUGCCAGGUGCUUCACAGCUCUUCACUUGCCAGAUUUUCCCACUUUGUGGCCCAGGGGCCCCUACUCAACAGCCCAAGGGCACAGAACGCCUUGCUGCCCUUGUGCAUGACCCGGGACUGCAGAUUUGGGCAGGAAGGGCUCCGAAGCCCUCGUUUCCCAGCUGAGGAUGCCGGGGCCCAGGGAGGGUGAGCCCAGCUUUCUGACUCUGCAUCCAGUGAUCUUCCCACCACCUCGCGACCCCACCCAGUGAUCUUUCCACCACCCCGUGACCCCCCCCUCCCGAACUGGGUUCUGCCUUUUCUACACUUCCCAGCACCCUUGCCCGAGCAAACUGGGGGAGGGAUCUUUCCCGCAAGAGAUGGAAUCAUCCAUCAUUCUCUUCGCCUUCUUCGUCCCAGCUUCCUGUCACUCCAAGCCCCCCCCGCCCCGACCCACCGCCAUGACCCUGCCCCUGCCAGGUGGGGAAGGGGCUGACAGGAGCCCUGGCUGAGCAGCGAGUGAGCAUGUCAAGCUGUUGGACACUGUGACAUUAGUGCAUCCUACCGGUGACCCACCUCCCCGCCCCUUCUCCCGCCUGAUUUUGUACAUAAAGUGACAUGAGAUGCAACGUGUGUGUGCGUGCGUGUGUAUGACAUAUGUCAUGGGUUUUGUUACAUUUUUGUUUUUGUAACUUUGAAUGUUCAAAAUAAACAUGAUGUUUAC